This 253-nucleotide ribosomal RNA is filed under the name uncultured bacterium. RNAcentral's name for it is "partial 16S ribosomal RNA". It matches the Rfam family "Bacterial small subunit ribosomal RNA", at positions 524 to 776 of the family's 1533-position model. The record is from RNAcentral.
UACGUAGGGUGCGAGCGUUAAUCGGAAUUACUGGGCGUAAAGCGUGCGCAGGCGGUUUUGUAAGCCAGAUGUGAAAGCCCCGGGCUCAACCUGGGAAUGGCAUUUGGGACUGCAAGGCUGGAGUUUGGCAGAGGAGACUGGAAUUCCCGGUGUAGCAGUGAAAUGCGUAGAUAUCGGGAGGAAUACCGAUGGCGAAGGCAGGUCUCUGGGCCGAUACUGACGCUGAGGAGCGAAAGCGUGGGGAGCGAACAGG